GACGUUCCCGGGGCGUGUCGGGAGAGUGGUCAUUGCUCCGCCAGCUGUGCAGCAGGACGGAGCGCAAAGCCUCAGAACUGCCCGUUCUAGUCCCAGCUCUCCUGGGCAUGGCAACCACAAGACCCUCAGCACAAGA
RNAcentral lists this small nucleolar RNA (136 nucleotides) under Ochotona princeps (American pika). The record is from RNAcentral. Lineage: Eukaryota; Metazoa; Chordata; Mammalia; Lagomorpha; Ochotonidae.